GCUGGGCAUAGUGGCAUGCACCUGUAGUCCCAGCUACUCAGGAGGCUGAGGCAGGAGAAUUGCUUGAACCUGGGAGGCGGAGGUUGCAGUGAGCCAAGAUUGUGCCACUGCACUCCAACCUUGUGACAGAGCGAGACUCCGAAUAUGAUCUACAUAAAAUAUAAAAUGGUCUCAAUGUUUUCGUUUUUUACUUUUUUGAGAUGGAGUCUUGCUCUGUCCCUCAGGCUGGAGUGCAGUGGCAUGAUCUUGGCUCACUGCAACCUCCACCUCCUGGGCUCAAGCGAUUCUCCUGCCUCAG
Molecule: small RNA, 298 nt
Filed under: Pongo abelii (Sumatran orangutan)
Lineage: Eukaryota; Metazoa; Chordata; Mammalia; Primates; Hominidae
Description: Metazoan signal recognition particle RNA (ENSPPYG00000030384.1)
Source: Rfam by way of RNAcentral